UUAUUACAAAACAGAGCCGGUUCUUUCGCUGGCCAUUUCCACACCGGAACGAAGAACGCUUUCAACACCUUUUCGUACUCAACGAGAUCUGCUGUUGAUCCGCAGUUUAUGCAUCUGCCCGCACCUGAUUUCAGCACCCGACUCACCUGUUGGUUCACUCCUCCCACGAAGAAGAAGAACAUUUUCUUUCUUUUUUUCCCCUCUAACUUUCUAUUUAUUUAUUUAUUUCGUAUAACUUGCUAUUUAUUAUUUGUUAGGGGUUCAAUUAAUUAUUUACUUGGCUUGGCAGGCAGAUAUCCAAAUAAGAAGAGGAGGCGGUAGGGGUUUUCGCUGUAGCUGGAGUAGACUCUAGAGGGUUCUGGGUUUUCUUUAGUUUAUAUUUGCUACUAAAUUUAUUUAGCUGCCCAUUGGAGGGUAAGAAAA
RNAcentral lists this long non-coding RNA (423 nucleotides) under Citrus sinensis (sweet orange). RNAcentral describes it as "long non-coding RNA (CSIN_LNC001460)". Lineage: Eukaryota; Viridiplantae; Streptophyta; Magnoliopsida; Sapindales; Rutaceae. The record is from RNAcentral.